GCCUAUCAACGCCCGGUCACCCGACCGCGUGCGGAGAGUGGCCCUCCGAGCCGCAGAGGCACGGCGGGCUGAAGAGCGAGGCCGUCGGCCGCGUCGGGAUCGGCAAGUGGUGGGCUACAGCGCAUGCCGACCCCGACCCGUGUUGGCUCGGGCCCUCACCGACCCCACGACGAUUAGACCGUCGCCGUGGCAUCCAUGCCGCGCGACGCAUUCGGACC
Molecule: unclassified non-coding RNA, 218 nt
Filed under: Cyperus sanguinolentus
Lineage: Eukaryota; Viridiplantae; Streptophyta; Magnoliopsida; Poales; Cyperaceae
Source: RNAcentral